CUGGCCGUAAACGAUGAAUGCUAGGUGUGGGUGUAGAGAUACAUCCGUGCCGGAGCUAACGCGAUAAGCAUUCCGCCUGGGGAGUACGGUCGCAAGAUUGAAACUCAAAGGAAUUGACGGGGGCCCGCACAAGCGGUGGAGCACGUGGUUUAAUUCGAUGCAAACCGAAGAACCUUACCUGGGUUUGACAUGUACGUGGUACGGAGAUGAAAGUUGAAGGACUCCUCCUUCGGGAGGGGAGCGUACACAGGUGC
This 254-nucleotide ribosomal RNA is filed under the name uncultured Synergistaceae bacterium. RNAcentral's name for it is "partial 16S ribosomal RNA". It matches the Rfam family "Bacterial small subunit ribosomal RNA", at positions 796 to 1041 of the family's 1533-position model. The record is from RNAcentral. Lineage: Bacteria; Thermotogati; Synergistota; Synergistia; Synergistales; Synergistaceae.